This is a long non-coding RNA of Phacochoerus africanus (Common warthog), 1761 nucleotides long. RefSeq lists it as uncharacterized. The record is from RefSeq and is a predicted model, not a curated record. Lineage: Eukaryota; Metazoa; Chordata; Mammalia; Artiodactyla; Suidae. The transcript is spliced from 3 exons.
UGGCUGGCAGGCAGGGCCCUCUGCCUUUCCAGGCUUCUCGGCUGCUCCUGGCCAUCCGCCCAGUCCUGGCCCAGCUCCACCAGGCCUUCUCCAAUCCUGUGUCUGCCAUUCUUGCCCCCUCCUGGGGGUAACUGGCCACUCCUGUGCCACUAACCGCCCUGCCCUGCCACCUCCUAGGCCUCAACUCUGAGUCAUCUGGGCUCAAACAGGGCUGUCUGCUCAGUAACCACAUGGACCUAGAGAGGAAGGAGAGCCAGCAGAGGCAGGGCUGGCCAAAGUCACUCCUAGGGUACAGUGUGUGCUUGAGCAGAAAGGCCAUUGAAUCUGGCAUCAGAAGACAGAGUUUCCAGGGUCACCUCUGCCACCAGCUAACAGGGUAACUAUGGACAAGCCACCGCCCUCUCUGGACCUGCCUCCUCUUCUGUAAAAUGAGAGGAUUGGACUGGGAGCUGCAGGAGGGCUUUCAAUUCCAGGCUUUGGGGACUAAACUUGGGCACAGAGGACAGCAAGACAGAAGCCAUCUUCUUCAAAGGACAAAGUGGCCCUCAAAAUUUCAAGUGAUUUUCUUCUCACCAGGGCACCUGGAGCAGCCUUUAAAGGUUCUUGAGAGAUAAAUGAAAUGAAGGUAAUGCACCAAAGUAAAGAGUUUUGAGGCUGAAUUUUGCCAUGAUUUUAGGGUCUGUUAUAUUAGGAUUUUCAUAAAAGAAAUUAUCCAGAGGAAAUAAAAGUUCCUCACUCUACUCUUAGCCUACACAUGUAAAUCUGGGAGGUGGAGCUGGGUAUCAGUAACUCAUGGUUGAAUGCAGAGGCCAUCCCAAGAGGCAGUAGAGUGGGCGUGACAAUGGAAGACUAUAUAACCCUGACAAGGGUCUCAGGACACCUGCCUUCUCCCAUGUGAUGGAUGAGUCUCAAUCAAGGCUGCUAUCUGACCCCCUUCAUGAAGCAUUCAGAAGUGGAUGGAAUUGGCAGUGUUUUUCCUGAUUCCACAGGAUUCCAGCAUGAACCUUGUAGGAGAUGAAGCUCUUGGAGCAUGCACAACCUGACCUCCUGCCCGGGGCAGGCCCUGCUGUGAGACGGAGCUGCACGGAGUGGGGAGUGGAGCCUGUAACUCGGAGUCAGAAGCAAGAGCUCAACCAUCUUGUCCACACCGACUCCCAGCACCUGCACUCAAGACAUCCUUGUUAAAGUGGUGAAUGAGUGAAAUCCUGUCUGACAUCUCUAGAGCCACAGAAACAGCUUCCUCCUGGUGGUCCAUGGGGAGUCCGUUUAUUGCUGUAACUGGUGCUGCUCCAAGCUAUGGUGGGUCAAUAGGCUGGUGGUCUCCAGUGAUACUCAGUCCCAGGAUCCAUGCUCUUCUGUGUCCCUCACAUAUAAACUCAGGGUGUGGCCACGGGACUUGCUCUGGCCAACAGGACAUGAGCAAGUGUGCCGGGCGCAGAGCCAUGAUAAGUCCUGAAUGCUGGGGUCUGUCCUCUUGGGACACUGUCUCUCGAGGUCCUAGGGUACACUGCAAAGAGGUCCAGCCACCAAGAUGAAAAAACCACACAGAGGACCAAGGGAGCUGGCCAGGUGCCCCGUUCCAGCCAUUCCAGCUGAAGUGCUAGAAAUGUGAGUGAAGACCUCCCAGCCCCAGGAGGUGACAGGUAGGGCAGGAGAACCACCGAGCUGAGCCCAGCCCAGCGGGCAGACUGAUGGCAAAUCCAAAACCAUUUUUAAAUAAAUUUGACCAGCUUGCUUCGGCAAUAAGUAGCUGAAACACUA